This 293-nucleotide ribosomal RNA is filed under the name uncultured bacterium. RNAcentral describes it as "partial 16S ribosomal RNA". It matches the Rfam family "Archaeal small subunit ribosomal RNA", at positions 455 to 747 of the family's 1478-position model. The record is from RNAcentral.
GUGCCAGCAGCCGCGGUAACACCGGCAGCUCAAGUGGUGGCCAUUAUUAUUGGGCCUAAAGCGUUCGUAGCCGGCCUGAUAAGUCUCUGGUGAAAUCCCAUAGCUUAACUAUGGGAAUUGCUGGAGAUACUAUCAGGCUUGAGAUCGGGAGAGGUUAGGGGUACUCCCAGGGUAGGGGUGAAAUCCUAUAAUCCUGGGAGGACCACCUGUGGCGAAGGCGCCUAACUGGAACGAAUCUGACGGUGAGUAACGAAAGCCAGGGGCGCGAACCGGAUUAGAUACCCGCGUAGUCC